CUCCCUUUGGCACUUCUAGGAAGUUCCCCCUCACAAAUCUACCUCCAAUUUGCUGUUGACCAUGAGCAUCAGUAAAAGAUUAUAUAUAUAAAUAAGCACAAUAUUAACAUUUUUCCCAUCAAGCAAGCAGACUCAUGCAACAAAGAGAAACCAAAGUAAAAUAAAUAAAUAAAUAAAGCAGCAAACAAAAUAGCAACAUGACAUAGCCCAGAGUUAAAUAAGAGAAUUGACAUUAAUACUAAGACAUCCAUGAACCGCAAUUGAUAUGCUACAAGAAAAUGUUCUGUGCCAUUAAAAUAACAAUUAUUAUACGUAUCAUCUUUCUAGUAUGGCCAUUAACCAUUCUCUUUAUUUAAAGUGAAUGUCUUUUCUCUUUUCUCUCCACAUCAAUCUUUAAGCCAUCAUACAAAAGAAACUCAAAUAAAACUGUUUUCCUAUGCAAUUUACAUUAAUAAAUCAAAAGUGACACCAAGCGUACAUGGUUAGCAAAAAUCUCUAGCAAUUAGAUAGAAACAUCAACAAAUUGAGUUCAGAGGAGAGGUAGCAUUAUGUAGCUUCACCAAAUAACCACUGCAGCUUGUGUCUAACAAUAGUAACAUGGUCGUUAAGAGCAAAUUUAACUUAUUGGCCCAACAAUGAUAUAUCAAUAAUUUGCCUGAACAAAUACUUAACUACACAAAACGA
RNAcentral lists this unclassified non-coding RNA (684 nucleotides) under Hevea brasiliensis (rubber tree). The record is from RNAcentral. Lineage: Eukaryota; Viridiplantae; Streptophyta; Magnoliopsida; Malpighiales; Euphorbiaceae.